RNAcentral lists this transfer RNA (82 nucleotides) under Thermoleophilaceae bacterium. RNAcentral describes it as "tRNA-Tyr". It matches the Rfam family "tRNA". Rfam says of the family: Transfer RNA (tRNA) molecules are approximately 80 nucleotides in length. Their secondary structure includes four short double-helical elements and three loops (D, anti-codon, and T loops). Further hydrogen bonds mediate the characteristic L-shaped molecular structure. tRNAs have two regions of fundamental functional importance: the anti-codon, which is responsible for specific mRNA codon recognition, and the 3' end, to which the tRNAs corresponding amino acid is attached (by aminoacyl-tRNA synthetases). tRNAs cope with the degeneracy of the genetic code in two manners: having more than one tRNA (with a specific anti-codon) for a particular amino acid; and 'wobble' base-pairing, i.e. permitting non-standard base-pairing at the 3rd anti-codon position. The record is from RNAcentral. Lineage: Bacteria; Bacillati; Actinomycetota; Thermoleophilia; Thermoleophilales; Thermoleophilaceae.
GGCGGGAUUCCGGAGCGGUCAAACGGGCGUGGCUGUAAACCACGUGGCUCAGCCUUCGCAGGUUCGAAUCCUGCUCCCGCCA